ACUUCUGUUCCCAGUGCAGGGGAGGGGGCGGUUCCAGGUAGAGCAAGAGAGAGGGAGAGAGGUGAAGGUCACCAGGCAAUGAGAUGGAUGAGCGGCGAGGGAGUCAUGAGCCACGAGGACAAAGAUGGAGCCGGAAUGAACAGGGAGAGACUAGAGGACAGAAAUGCAGAAUACCAAUUCCAAGUUACAUGGUCCUUAUGUGUCAGAGGAGAAAGUCGACAUCUAGAACAGUUCAACCACCUGUUUAAGUUGUGAAUCAACCUCUUAAACUUUUCAUUGCUUUUGGAGCCGGAGCACGGGAAGGGUUUUCCUUAAGAAAGACUUCAUCUGAAAUGCUGCUGGUCCUCUGAUAAGAUAACUUGGAAAAGAAUCAAGUUGGCCGCCGUCUCACUUUGCUGCAGACUUUCACUGAGUCACAGCUCUGAUGGAUGAUUCCAAGUGACUGGCAGUCAAACCAGAUUGUCCCAAAUGCCAGUUGUUUCUGCCUCCUCUGACAAAAGGCUGAGCCCUGCAGCCAAGGCUAAACCAGGUGGUAGACAGGCCUGUGCUGCACCAGUCCUAGCCCCCAGGAAACCCGGGAAGUAUUCAAAGGCCAUGGCCCUACCCCAAGAUGUUUUGGGUUAAGCAUGGAAUUAUUGUUCUCCCUUCAAAGCCCCAAGAUAAAAGCUGCUCAUGAAUGCCCUGAAAGAGCAUGUGCCUUUGAUGCUGUGAGGACCCUCUCUGACUAUAUGAGUAGCACAGCCCUUGUCUAGUCUCCACACCCAGGCCUUCUGAAGUGGGUGUGACCUCAAAGUUCACUGAUCCCACCUUCCCUAACGAGCAUGUAUUUCUUGCUGUACUUCUACCCAGUCCUGUUCACGAUUGUCAGGAAAGCCCCCACCCCAACCCCAAACCCCAUCUAGACCUCCCAGCUCUGUCAUCUGAGGCCUCAGCCUGCUCUCUGGAGAAGUGUGAGUCUACUGUGGGCUGGGCUUCAAGCCAGCUUUCCAUGUCAGUACUUGUCUAUUUUCCCACGUGGGGUUCCGAAGACCCCCAAUACACAGGGAGCUCCCAAAAGGGCAAACUGAAGAAGUUCAAAGCACCCCCCAGACUCCAGUAGCUUGAAGAGGGGAAUGGGGUUCCUAUCUCCCUGGCCUCAGGAGAGUCUGGUCAACAUGGAACCAUGGAAAUCAUGAAAUGUUUUGGCUUUGCCCUCUGCUGCCUUGGGAACUCACUAUUUGUAUAUCUUCUUCCUGCAGGGGUGUGACUUGUGACCUGCACCCUAGGACUGGGCUCUGAUUGAACUCUCCUUGACUCCUGUCUCAACACAAACAUCAUUGAGCCCAGCGAGGAGGGAGGACUGAUUCCCCCCACCUACCCCACCCCCAGAUUCUCACAGCCGCAGCUUCUCAUCUGGGCCAGGCCUGGCAAACCAGAACCCAGACUUUGCCUCCAGCCCGGGGAACUCCCCACCCCGUACUCCAGCUCUUCUGCUUUGGAUCCUGCUUCCCACCAACCCAGAGCCCAGGGGCCUGGAGCGGCUGCCAUGACACUGUUUCUUACGUCCAGAUCCAAGCACCCUGACCCAUCCGGCACUUCGAGGAGUGCUCGACCGUAAAGAGUUGCCCAGCCUGCACAGAUUUUACCUGAGCCAGAGAGAGAAACUUGCAAAGUCAAAGGCUGCUUGCUUGGUGUAGCAGGCUAUCCCAGCUUGUCCUGGAGGUUUCCAGAUUGUGUUGCAGACCUGUGGGUGGGACUUCUCCAAGACAGAAGCUGCUCCGCUCCUUGCUGAGCAGCUGUGAGUUCAUGCUCCCAGCUGUCACUCAAGUCGGCUUCCUCCAAACUCUCAGUCUCCAGCCUCAGUAGGUGAAGUUCAUCCCGGGACACUGUUGUUUCUGUAUUUGUGGCGCUCAAAUGUCCACGUGUAUCAGGAUGGGACAGUGGAGCUGUACAAACUCUGUCUCAGUAGAUGUUAUGGACUGAAGGUAUCCCCCAAAUUCCUGUGUUGAAAUCUUAAGCCCCAACAUGAUAUUAUUACCAGGUAGGGCCUUCGAUGAGGUCACAAAAGCAGAGCCCCCCCCAUAAGAUAAUAAGAAAGUGCCCACAGAGAGCUCUCCCACCCUCUUUUUAGAGAAGUCAGUCAUUACAGCCUUGAAGAGCGUCCGUACCCAAACUGACCAUGUAACGCUCUGGUAGCCACCUCUAGACUUGGGAACAGUGAGGGUAAACUUCUAUUGUUUAUAAGCUGUGCAGUUUAUGACACUUUGUUAUAGAAGCAAAACUGGACUAAAGUGAGAAAGCAUUUCAUAGCAAGACCUGCAAAUUUGCAUUUUCAGCAAGUUUGGGUGGGGGAUGGAGGGUGCAGCUACAGGUUCUCUGGGGACCAAUAAGUGCUCUGUAUAUCCUGCCAGAUCUCUCCAAGAGCCUGCUAGCCCAGGCUGUGUGUCAACGCAGAGGCACACUGCUCUGCUGAACUCCAGAAUCAGACCCUAUAGUCCGAAUUCCCAUGUCAAGCUGGGCUGGCCUAGGAACUGGCCAUCCAUGAACUGUGAGCCACCUUUGGCCUCAUGCAGGGUUGGUCCCAGUGGUGAAGGUGCUUGGGAAAUGCUUACUGAGUACCCAGAGCAGGAAGAAUGCCUCAUCAUAGCCUGCUGAAAUCUCUCUAAUCUCCAGGAAGAUGCCAGGGUAGCACACCCUGUGGGCAACAGGGCCAGUGCCGGCUCCCAGACAUGGUAAAACUGGUGUGGGAAUGGAGGCAGGGCUGGGGCACAUCUUCCCCUGAGAACGCUAAGCAUGGGAACCCAUGCCUGUGGGCUGUCCUGGUUGUCCCUGUAAAGAACCAGCUGUCAAGCCUGUGCCUGUAGUUGGAUUUAUGAGCGGCUUCUCGUGCUUCACAUAGGCUGAUGCUGAUUUCCUGGGAAAGACUGUGCUGUCUCAGGUUUUGCACACACAGACAGGAGAGUGCAUGCUUGGCUGCGUGGUAGGUAGGUGGCAGGGCCUUGGCUUCCUGGGGGGUCUUCUGAGCCAGGUCCCAAGCACUUCUGCCAGAAAUGGCUGCAUUCCAUUUCUGAGUGCCACCUCCUGGACUCAUGGUGGAUUCAUGCUGGACUCAUGGUGGCUGAUACCAUGACCCCUCAUUCAUCCCUGCUGGGCUCCAGUCUUCAGAGGGUCUGGGCAGGCACUUGCCUGUUUGGCACUGCUUGAACCGCUUGUCAGAUUGGGUACUUCCGGUCAUUAGAAUGGAGGCUUGGUAGUUUCAUGCCCUAUGUCCCAGGAGAAAGUUAACCCUGAUGCAUGUCUGUGAGGCCUUCGCAAUCCUCCUCCCACUCCCAGUCAGGCCCAUCUCCUGUUUCUUUUCUGUUUCUUUUCACUGUUUACAAAGUGCUCUUAAAAAAAAAAAAAAAAAAAGAUUA
This is a long non-coding RNA of Meriones unguiculatus (Mongolian gerbil), 3392 nucleotides long. RefSeq lists it as uncharacterized. The record is from RefSeq and is a predicted model, not a curated record. Lineage: Eukaryota; Metazoa; Chordata; Mammalia; Rodentia; Muridae. The transcript is spliced from 4 exons.